AACUGAUGAAGUUGGAACAGGUAGCCAACACCUUUAUGGAGAUGCAGAUUACCACCUGCCAUCAGUU
Molecule: non-coding RNA, 67 nt
Filed under: unclassified sequences
Description: skipping-rope RNA
Rfam family: skipping-rope RNA
About the family: Firmicutes, Fusobacteria, AlphaProteobacteria, Spirochaetes. Downstream gene
Source: Rfam by way of RNAcentral